AUUGAACGCUGGCGGCAGGCUUAACACCUGCCAGUCGACCGAGUGGCGGACGGGUGAGUAAUGGGUGGGAAUCUAGCUUAUGGCGGGGGAUACCUACAGGAAACUGUAGCUAAUACCGCAUACCAUUGGCUGAGCCCAAGUGUGAUUAGGUAGUUGGUGAGGGAAAGGCUCACCAAGCCGACGAUCUCUAGCUGGUCUGAGAGGAUGACAAGCCACACUGGGCCGGAGACACGUCCCAGACUCCUACGGGAGGCAGCAGUGGGGAAUAUUGCGCAAUGGGGGGAACUUGACGCAGCCAGGCCGCGUGAAUGACGAAGGCUUUCGUGUUGUAAAGUUCUUUCGGUAGCGAGGCGUGAACUACAGAAGAAGAACUGGCUAACUCCGUGCCAGCCGCCGCGGUAAUAC
Molecule: ribosomal RNA, 405 nt
Filed under: uncultured bacterium
Lineage: Bacteria
Description: partial 16S ribosomal RNA
Rfam family: Bacterial small subunit ribosomal RNA
Source: RNAcentral